CUUGGUCAUUUAGAGGAAGUAAAAGUCGUAACAAGGUUUCCGUAGGUGAACCUGCGGAAGGAUCAUUAUCGAAUCGUCGACACGAGCUGUCGCUGGCCCCCUGGGGCACGUGCACGCUCUGUUUGCACAUCCACUCACAUCUGUGCACCCUCCGUGGUUCUAUGGUCUAUAGGAGAGCGUAGUUCCACGUCGCCACACCCACUCUGUAAUAAAGUCUUAUGGAACGUAUGCCGCGUUUARCGCAAAGCAAUACAACUUUCAGCAACGGAUCUCUUGGCUCUCGCAUCGAUGAAGAACGCAGCGAAAUGCGAUAAGUAAUGUGAAUUGCAGAAUUCAGUGAAUCAUCGAAUCUUUGAACGCACCUUGCGCCCCUUGGCCAUUCCGAGGGGCAUGCCUGUUUGAGUAUCAUGAACAUCUCAACUCUCACGGUUCUCCGUGACGAGCUUGGACUUUGGGGGUUUUGCUGGCCUCUGCGGGUCGGCUCCUCUCAAAUGGAUCAGCUUUCCAGCGUUUGGGGGCAUCGCGGGUGUGAUAACCAUCUACGCUCGUGCUCGCCUGCCAUGUAACCUCUGGUGAUCAGAGGUUCGCUGGAGCUUACAAACGCCUCUCUUUGGCAUUUCAAACGUUCGAUCUCAAAUCAGGUAGGAACUACCCGCUGAACUUAAGCAUAUCAAUAAGCGGAGGA
RNAcentral lists this ribosomal RNA (685 nucleotides) under Thelephora palmata. RNAcentral describes it as "eukaryotic LSU rRNA". The stretch from base 254 to 408 matches the Rfam family "5.8S ribosomal RNA". The record is from RNAcentral. Lineage: Eukaryota; Fungi; Basidiomycota; Agaricomycetes; Thelephorales; Thelephoraceae.